UGAGUAAGUACAGGGGCAGAUGCU
This 24-nucleotide non-coding RNA is filed under the name Rattus norvegicus (Norway rat). Lineage: Eukaryota; Metazoa; Chordata; Mammalia; Rodentia; Muridae. The record is from RNAcentral.